Molecule: ribosomal RNA, 249 nt
Filed under: uncultured bacterium
Lineage: Bacteria
Description: partial 16S ribosomal RNA
Rfam family: Bacterial small subunit ribosomal RNA
Source: RNAcentral
UACGGAGGGAGCUAGCGUUGUUCGGAAUUACUGGGCGUAAAGCGCACGUAGGCGGCUUUUUAAGUCAGGGGUGAAAUCCCGGGGCUCAACCCCGGAACUGCCCCUUGAAACUGGAGAGCUAGAAUCUUGGAGAGGCGAGUGGAAUUCCGAGUGUAGAGGUGAAAUUCGUAGAUAUUCGGAAGAACACCAGUGGCGAAGGCGACUCGCUGGACAAGUAUUGACGCUGAGGUGCGAAAGCGUGGGGAGCAA